AGAGUUUGAUCAUGGCUCAGAAUCAACGCUGGCGGCGCGCCUAACACAUGCAAGUCGAACGAGAAAGGGGAGCAAUCCCUGAGUAAAGUGGCGUACGGGUGAGUAACACGUGGGUAAUCUGCCCUUUGGUGGGGAAUAACCCUGGGAAACCGGGGCUAAUACCGCAUAAGUCCGAGAGGAGAAAGCAGCAAUGCGCCGAAGGAGGAGCCCGCGGCCGAUUAGCUAGUUGGUAGGGUAAGAGCCUACCAAGGCAAAGAUCGGUAGCCGGCCUGAGAGGGCACACGGCCACACUGGCACUGAAACACGGGCCAGACUCCUACGGGAGGCAGCAGUGGGGAAUCUUGCACAAUGGGGGAAACCCUGAUGCAGCGACGCCGCGUGAGCGAUGAAGCCCUUCGGGGUGUAAAGCUCUUUCGGCAGGGAAGAUGAUGACGGUACCUGCAGAAGCAGCUGCGGCUAACUACGUGCCAGCAGCCGCGGUAAUACGUAGGCAGCAAGCGUUGUUCGGAGUUACUGGGCGUAAAGGGUGUGUAGGCGGUCUGGUAAGUCUGGUGUGAAAUCUCCCGGCUCAACUGGGAGGGUGCGCCGGAAACUGCUGGACUCGAGUGCGGGAGAGGAGAGUGGAAUUCCUGGUGUAGCGGUGAAAUGCGUAGAUAUCAGGAGGAACACCGGCGGUGUAGACGGCUCUCUGGACCGUAACUGACGCUGAAACACGAAAGCGUGGGUAGCAAACAGGAUUAGAUACCCUGGUAGUCCACGCCCUAAACGAUGCAUAUUUGGUGUGGGUCAUUCAGUUGAUCCGUGCCGGAGCUAACGCGUUAAAUAUGCCGCCUGGGGAGUACAGUCGCAAGGCUGAAACUCAAAGGAAUUGACGGGGCCCGCACAAGCGGUGGAGCAUGUGGUUCAAUUCGACGCAACGCGAAGAACCUUA
RNAcentral lists this ribosomal RNA (931 nucleotides) under uncultured bacterium. Its description in RNAcentral is "bacterial SSU rRNA". It matches the Rfam family "Bacterial small subunit ribosomal RNA", at positions 8 to 973 of the family's 1533-position model. The record is from RNAcentral.